Molecule: long non-coding RNA, 1286 nt
Organism: Rattus norvegicus (Norway rat)
Lineage: Eukaryota; Metazoa; Chordata; Mammalia; Rodentia; Muridae
Source: Ensembl
CAAACCCACGGAGGAGGAUCUCCAGCUACUGCUGUCCACACCGCAGUGAAGGCAUGGCGCCUUGGCCCCCCAGAUCUGUGGUCCUUAGAGGGACAGCUCGAAAUCAAAAAGUACCUGGAAACCAUGGUUUGCAAGUUGAAAUCUGGAGAUUCCUCCUGCGAGAUUAUAGAGAGCAGUUUUGACAUCACGGAACACUGAAAUUUAUAAAUGAGGUGAUUUGGUUGCCUGACAUCUACUGGAGACUAACCAUGUGUCCCAGAAAGACGAUGAACUUGAGGGAGGAGGAGUUGAGAUGGCAAGAGGGUGAAAGAGUUCCUGUUGACUUUGGGCAGUAACACUGAUAUUCCGGCCUCUCGACAGUGUAACUUGAGAAAUGCUGCUGAGCAGGGUGAGGAAGCCCAUGGAGCCUGUCUGGAGUGCCUCCAGUCCCCAUGUUCCCUUGGGCUGCAGCGGAAAUAUUCUAGGCAUGAGGUACCUGUGGACUCGAAUUCCACACUAGUGACAGUGAGCGACACAUAUGGAGCUGGGGGAAGAUAUCUCAGCAAUCAAGCAGUUGACGCCUCUGUAGUUCUCAGGACCUAAGUCCGGUGAACCACAACUCAGUUGUGGGGGAACCCAACUCUUCCUGUAGGCACCUGAACUCACGCCUGUGUGACUGCACACGUGCACAGCACCAAAGAAAAUGUUCCUUCUUCGUGGUCAUGAGACUAAGUAUUUGGAAUCAUAACAUUUAUGAUGUAGCACUGAACCAUGAUUUUGCGACACCUAGAGCAGCCAUGUGGGUCAACCCUCAGCAGACUAUGGCUUGAAGGAGUUGUCAGUCAUAACUGUCUACAGGCAACCAUGCAUGAGGCAUCUCUCUAUCAUGGGACACUGCUGCAUUGAUCUCCCACCAGAAAACUAAGAGAAACCACCAGCGGCUAAUGGCACUCCAGAGAUAGUUUAAGUUGCUUCUGCAAGACAUCUUGUCAUGUGGUGAUCUACUCAUCUAAGAGGAUGAGGAACUUUUGGAGCGCCGUGGUGACCUUGAAGGUGACAAUGACACCAUCCAUUCCUAGAACAUUGUGACAGCUGCCACCUGAACGGGUAAAAGUGGUACAUGGGGAUCUACCCCCCCCAGAUGGCAGGACGCUCACAGAAGGGUCAGAUGGUGCAGGUAAACACUCCCACUCAUGAGUAUUUUUCUAUUAAGGGAGGUUGCUCUAUGCCUAGCUAGGUUUGCCCCAUGUUGCUCUUUGCUUUCUGCUUGGGAGUAGCUUUCCCCUGUGCUUUCCUCUCCUUCGUAG